CAGUCCGCUCGAAUGUGUCCUCCUGUGAUUUACUGCAAGCGAGUCCACUGAGGAGUGCCAAGUUCUCCUGCAGAGCAUGAUGAGCAUCAAGCCUAGCAAGAAAGUGGAUGAAAGUAGUGAUCGAUGUGCUUCCCAGAUCUUUGGACGUGAUUAUGUCAAUGAUAAGCCCAAAUGCCGACCUCUUCCAGCGUAGCUUUAGAAGCUCCUUUGCCGAAUCGCUGAGAGCUUGCGGCGCUGCCGGGGAUCUAGACCGCGCGCGGCGCCUCCACGCCGGGAUCCUGUCCCUCUCGAGCAGUGCCGAUCGCCCAGCAAGCGUCUAUCUCUUGAAUCUGGUCGUGGAGAUGUAUGGCCAGUGUGGCAGCGUGCGCGAUGCCAAGGCCGCGUUUGAUUCGAUCCGGGAGAAGAACCAGUAUAGCUGGAACAUCCUCAUCGCGGCUUUCGCAGCGAAUGGAGAGAUCGAUGAGGCGCUCGCGGCGUUUGAGAGGGCGCCGAGCGUGAAUCUGGUGACCAAGAACAGCAUCCUGGGUGCAUUUGCCCGGAGUGGGGAUCUGGAGAGAGCGAGGAGAUUCUUCCGGGAGGUGAUGCCCUUCCACGACAUCGUCUCGUGGACCGCGAUGAUCACAGCCUGUGGCAGCGCUAUUGCCGAGGCUCGAGAGAUCUUCGAGAGGAUGCCCGAGAGGAACAAGGUGUCCUGGAAUGCGAUGCUCGCGGCGCUUGCCUCGGCUGGAGAGAUUGGCGAUGCCGCUGCGCUCUUCGAUCGGAUGCCUGUCAGGGAUCUCAUCUCCUGGACGGCGAUGGUCCAGUGCUGCUGCCUCGGCGGAGAUCUUCCAUCGGCGAGGAGAUACUUCCACCAGAUGCCUCGCCACGACGCCAUCGUCUGGAAUGUGAUGAUCGAAGGCCACGCCCAGCGCGGCGAGCUGGAAGAGGCCAAGGAUCUUCUCGACGCGAUGCCACACCCCAAUGUCAUCUCUUGGACGAGCCUGGUCACGGCCUACGCUAGGAGCGGCGAUCUGGAUGGAGCCAGGAUGAUCUUCGAGAGAAUCCCCCGGCACGACCACGACGAGCUCUCCUGGAACGCGAUGAUCGCUGCGUAUGCGCAGAGUGGCAACGUUGCCGAGGCGGAGGAGCUGAUCCAAUCCAUGCCACAGCCGAUCGAUGCCGAGAAUUUGGAGGAGCUAGAGGAGAGAAUGCGCCAUCUGGAUCAAGAUGAUCGGCCUGGGCACGAAGAUCUUGAAGAGCCUGGGGUUUCUGCCGGGAGAAUCAAGGCCGCCGCGCCCUGGAACAAGAUGAUCGCGGCGCUGGUGAAGAAGAAUCACCUGGAAGAGGCGCGCUGGGUCUUCGAUCGAAUGCUAGAGCCGGACAUCGCCUCGUGGACGCUCCUCCUCUCGGCCUACUUCCAGCGCGGCCAUCUCCAAGAAGCCCAGAGCAUAUUCGACGCCAUGCCGGCGAGAGAUGCCCGGGCAUGGACGGUCCUCCUGCGGGGAUAUGCCCAGCUCGGGCAUGUCCAUCACACGUGGAGGCUCUUCGCCACGUGUCCAAGCCUGGACGCUGUCACGUGGAACGUGGCCAUUGGCGCGCUCGCCUCGAGCGGCUUGCUCGUGGAGGCGGUGGAGCUCUUCUAUGGGAUGCUCUGCGUGGGAGAAAACCCAAGCGAGGCCACAUAUGCGGCAGCGAUCAGCGCUUGCGUCCACUUGGGAUUGGUGGAGGAAUCCCAGCGACAAUUCCGAAGCAUGGUGUUGGAUCUGGGUCGCGCGCCCAAUGUGAAGCUCUACUCGUCCAUGGCCGAUUUGCUUGGGCGGGCUGGGGAGGUGGCGGCGUCCAAGGAGCUCGUGGAGAGUAUGCCAUUUGCGAGUGAUGCGGUCGUGGAGGGAGCGAUGCUGGGAGCUUGCAAGAUCCAUGGCGAUCACUACGGUUAGCCGUUAAGUUCCAAUUCAGCUGAAACUUUCAUGCUCUGGAGAGGAGAUGUCAGUUGCUACACCUGGAUUUGAUCAAGCCUCAGCAGCAUCAGCCUCCUCACGAGCUUGACCGUGGAGCUCGAGGGGCGAGAUGGAAACAUCGAUCUCCCCGCGCGCUGGAGCCGCAGAGGGAGCUUUACGGCUCCAAGAUCUUCUUCCAGUUCCAUGUCGCCGAAAUGUGAGAGUAGCAUUCCCUUGUCUCUUCCCACGAGCUUGGAGUCGAUCGAGGUGUGCGCUUGUCGUCGAUGGGAACCAUGCCAAACAUGGUGGCGUCAGGAAGAACAAUCGCGGUGGUGAUGGGAAGAAGAGAUCCUGGAGGUAGGAACUGGUAACUUCAAUGGACUCUGCAAAGCGACUGCUGGAAUACGCUGCCAUCAGAACUUGCUGCAAAGAAAAAUACCACCACAACAUCAUCGUCUGGAACGCGCCUCCUAGCGCGAUCAGGAAUAUUGCCAGAGUGGUGAUCUUGGCCAAGCUAAGGCGUGUUUGAUGCGAUAGCGUGGCGUUACAUCGUAGCCUGGAAUGCAAUCGCUUGGGGAAUUCGAACGAGCUAUGGAGCUCUUUUGUUAAAAAUCCUCUCAACAUGGCGCUGUUCAAGAGGUGGUUUGGGAGCGGUGUAGCAGCCCAGUGGGAACUUGUUAGCGCGGCUUCUCACCCACAAGCUCGAUGUCUGGUAAGUUGAGCAGGAUUUGGCCCUCAAAAUUGUGACUUUGCUGCGAGUUCCUGCAUUGCAGCAUGGAGCUGUCGUGCUCGAUGAAAAGAUGUAUGUCGUCGGGGGACGCUGUGAGGACAAAUACAUGAGCGAUGCGCUGGUAAACUUCUUCUGGCUUUGUGUCUCGUGAUUUUUCUUACGGUGUCGUGAUUUUCCUCCGCAAGGUUUUGGAUUUGAGAAACUGGAUUUGGACUUUACUUCCAUCUUGUCCUGUGUCUUGUGCCGGACAUCGUUUGGUGAGCUACUGAGAGCUAGUUUUCUUUCUUCACAGUCACACUAUCUAUCUAGGUGGCAAGAGGAUCGACGCUCUUUGGAAUCGUUGGGAUUCCAUCAGACGAAAGAUUGCGAGGUAGACAAGGUUUGAGGCUUUCUUUGACUGAGUCUGGCUCUCUUUUGUGUAGUGUACGAGUUUGAUGCAAUGGAAUGCUUGUGGUCACUUGCACCAGCGAGUGGAGAACGCUCCGGUAAGGAGUCCUUGCUAUUUCUUGCCAAGAAAUAUCUCUUUUCUAGGCUGGAACGCGUGGUCACUCAGCUACCUUGGUUGGGAGCAAAGUAUGGGUCUAUGGUGGCGAGGACUUUCACGGUCGAACGCUUGACGACGUCUACGCCUUUGAUCUGGAAGCGAAGGUGUGGGAACGUUUGAGUACAGUUCAUGUAACCUCACCUCGUCGUCUUCUUUCACUGUAGUGGCAUGCGUCCACCGCAUUGUUUUCAUGGCGAUGCUUCCGUCAACGGCAAUUAUCUCUACCUUUUCUCCGCCUGCGACAACAAGCUGUACAUGUUGGAUCUCAAAACUGUGAGCGAGACACGCUUUUUGCUGAAAGCUCAAGAACUGAUAGUCGCUGUUGUGCAGAAACAAUGGUCGUCCGCGCCCCUGGAGCUUCCUGCUGCGCCAACGUCCAUCGCUGGAAUGCUACAUCGUUGGUGGUAUGCUAUUCCACUAAUCAAAUCGUCAUUGCUACUACGUGUUUCCCACAGGCAUGCUGCCUCAAACGAUGCUGCUCAACAUGAAGUCGCGGAAGUGGACUCCUGUGUGCAUGGAGCUUCGUCUGCCUCGCGAGGUAUCACUCACAGACUUGAGACGCUUUUAAACGUCGGUAAUUACUGAGUGAAUCAUUUGCAGGGCCUGAGCCUGGUGCACGCGAAGAUCAAAGACCAAGCUUGUGUCAUUGCCUCUGGAGGUGAUCACGGUCAGGUAUGUGUGAUGGUCAGCUCUUUGCAGCAUGAUUUGAGUCGCAUUUCCCUGCAGUUGAGCGUGUUCAAGCUCGAUACCAUGAAGUCCUACCCGGCUACGCCAUCCAAAGCAGACUUGCCAAGCUUCUGCCGCGUGAGGGACAGGGAUGGCUCCGUUGUAGGGACUGUGUCGGUUUCGGAAGGAGGCAAACCGGUAGCGGACGUUGCCGGAGCCAUCGAACUUCUCACGGGUCAGGCCGGGAAUAGAGUGGCUUUGACUCGCGGCGAUCUGGUUUAUCCCGGAGAGGACCUAGAGUUUUACGAAGUGCUCAAGCCUGGCAACAUGGACCUGCAUCGCAUGAAUCUAUGCGCCUGCAAGCGUUUCUUGUCCCGAAUGAACAUCAAAGUUAUGAGAGGAGAGGGAUGGCUAGUGCCUCUGAUGGAAUUCGACGCAGAGCCCUUCGUGUGGACGUGGAAUGUCACAAGAGAAGCGACGAUGAACUAUCUGUGGCGGCAUGGAGUGCCGAGGUAUGCUGAGAGUCCAGUACGCAGUAAACUGUGACAGGGAACGCGAGCGCGUAGCAUGCUACUCCAAAACAAACUUUCCAUUCAAGCUCAAGUUCGAGAUCCACACAGUCUUGAGAAACGUCCUGGGUGACGACACCACGAUUGGUUUCUGGAUGGAGGAGAAGAUGAUUGACGAGCUGCUCUACAAGGCUAUGGUGGCUUGCCUGGGCUUGAACAUCAGGAACCCAACGCUAAAGUCAUGGAUGGUGGUGUCGGACCUCUGGCAUUUUGUGUGGAUGAACAGGAAGAACUUGUUCGUGUGCAAGGCGUCGAGCCGGAGCCAAGGACUUGAAAUCAUCCGCGACCUCGGCCACGAUUACAACCGGGGUCACCAACAACGAGGUUCCUGGCUUGUUCUCCAACUUGCCGGCGGUGACGAGUCGGGAUCCGGUGGGCGUGGAGUGCGAGAACCCCUUGCGCUCGCCACCGUUCCUCUAUGGGAGAGGCGUGAAUGAAGCUGGCGAGGUCGAGGUGUGGAAACUUGAUGGUAGCUUGCGCUGGACAAUCACCCAGGAAGACAACUUGCUUUGCGCAAAAGCAGGUGACACCGGAUCGUGAUAUCACAGUCAGAGAUAUGUGUGAACCGGCACAAGCCAUUUCAGUCGGCCAUGAAGUUUUGACUUUGAGUAAUCAAACUUGGGCCAAGAUUACUUUUGACUAUGGUUUGGCGAAAGGAUACCUAUCCGGCCCACGUGCUGCCGAAAGAGAUUGUGGGAUAAAGACUUUCAUAUAAUUCUAUAUAAAUUUGUCAAGAAAUGCUGCCUGCCAAGACUUUGUUGCAAGGAUAGGUUGUCUGGUUCUACCUAUCAUUUCUUUGAGUCAAAUGCAAAGGCAUCACGCAUCACGCUUCGAGUGAGUAAUUCUACUUCCACGGAUAGCGUGGCUGACAAAAUAAACGCUCUACAGCAAUGGUGUUUCGGACGUUAGGACAUGGUAAAAUUCCAUUUCUCUCUGUAAACUCAAUAACUUUUUGAAUCGCUUGAACCCUGGUGAUGGUCAUGGAAAGUGAUAUUAUAUUUCUUUUUAUUCUUCUUCUUCUUCUUUUUUAUUUUUUUUAUUUUUAAAUUAUGAUUGGACUAUUUCUGUGCUUCUGGAAAUCAACUUAGAAGCUACCAUUCAUCUCUUCCUGUACGAUAAAACUGAUAUUUCACCUUAAACUCUCCGGGGAAGUAAUCUACAAGCAGGAGUAUGGCUCAACUCAUCCAGAUCCUUGCGGUGGUAUUUUUCUAUGCAGCAAGUUCUUGGGCGGCAUCGGAUCCUAGCAAUCACUUUGCAAAGUGCACUGAAGUUAUCAGCUUCUACCAACAGGAUCUCUUCUUCCCAACACCCGGGCUGAACAUCACCACCGCGAUUGUUCUUCCAGGCACGAACAACGCCACCAUGUUUGCCCAGGUGGCCAUCAUUGACGACAAGCUCACACAAGCCCCCUCGAUGGACUCCAAGCUCGUGGGGAGAGCCAAGGGAAUGCUAGUGUUUGAUUCUCUCAGCAACAUCAGCCUCCUCACGAGCCUGACCGUGGAGCUCGAGGGGCGAGAUGGAAACAUCAAUCUCCUGGGCCAGAGCCGUGCGCUGGAGCCGCAGAGGGAGCUUUCAAUCGUGGGCGGAAGUGGGGAGUUUCGAUUUGUCCAAGGGUUCGCAACGCUGCGAACGUAUUCGCUGGAGCCUUACGGCUCCAAGAUCUUCUUCCAGUUGUAUGUGAUCAAACUGUGGGAGUGCUUGAUCAAAUCCCAGGUGUAGUGACCGAGAUCUCCUCGAAUAAAAAGUUUCAGCUGAAUUGGGAGCACUCCCAGCAUCGCUCCCUCCACGACCGCGUCACUCGCAAACGGCAUAAUCUCCACGAGCUCCGCAAUCUUCCCAUCUUCACGCUGGCGAUCCGAGUUGGCGCUGGGAUUCUUCCACCAAACUCACGCCACCAUGCCUGAGCUGACCGGGCAUGGCGUCGAAUAUGCUCUGGGCAUUUCGCCCUGGAAAGAAAGAAGAAUCAUCCGGAAGAUCCAUCGAAAUGCUGCUCGGCGCUGGCGCUGGCUAUGCAGCGUUUCACGGCUGGAAUGGUCCCGGACAUUGCAUCCAGCGCGGCCAGCGAUGAUUUUCCCGAAGCAACCUUUUUUUCUAUAAAAUUUCUCAUUGAAGCUCAGAAGAAGGGGCUCAUGCAGUUGAAAAGGUCAUCAAUCUAUGUGGUGUGCAACGCAUUACACUUGCGAGAGCCGUGCCAAGAACGUUUGAUCCUGCAUUUAGCUUCGUCAAGUUUUAUAACCAAACCAUGCAUUAAACAAGAUGAUCUUUGUGAUCUUCUUUAGGAUCAUAGAUGCACAGGCAUUUGCAUGGCUCUUCGGAGCCGGUCCCAUGCCCAAACAAGCUGCUGUGACUGUAAAAACAUCUAUCUAUCUCGUGUCCAUGAGGCCAAUACCAAAAGUAUCCUAAUGGACCAUACUUCGUGGUAGACAAUUGGACGAUGGAAGCUAAGUAAGCUUUAUAAUGGACUACAAAUCUCAGCGUGGACGAGAGAAGCAUGCACACUCGUGAGAAAUGUCUAAUAAUUUUUUUUUAGUUGGCUUUUGACACUCCAGAGGUCCUGUAGCUGAGAGUUGAGAGCUUUCGAUGUUCUAGAGGACGCGACACAGCGAGGGGUCUUAAACUGAGCUGGAGACAUGCCGUUCCUGACGGCCUCCUCCAUCAGCCUCUCGAGCGUUCCUUUCUUGACAAUCACCAGCUCGAACGAAUUGAUCAGCCCGUCCAUCCCUUUUCUCGUGCUCUGGAUUGUGUACGUCCACGCAGCACUUCUCUAAGUCUUGAGUUUUGGAGUAGUCGAGCUCCAAGAAGAUAGGAGGAACGGUGGCUGGAUUAAUGAAAUUCAACACUUCGAAAUCUCUGGCAUUCUUGCAGACCUUGUUCAGUAGCAUUUGCUUGUCCAUGGUUUCGUUGUUUAUGCAGAACUGUGCUGUUUUCUCUAUUUCAUCUGUAACCAAAGGUUUAAUGUUCUUUAUUCAAGGGGAUGAUGUUGGCAAUGGCUAUGGUGGUAGACAUGGUGACAUGCACAAACAAGCAGCACACGAAACACAAAACACCAUAUGCCAUUAGAAUUAUUUGCAUCAAAAAUUAUUUCGAAUAAUAGAAGUGUAAUAAACAAAAGGUGUCAAAUUAUAAGCAGCCAAGAGAGUUCUUUGAUAUCUUCAUGCUCACGUUCCCUGUCACUGUUCACUACGUAGUGGACUCUCAGCAUGCUGUACCUCGGCACUCCAUGCCGCCACAGAUAGUUCAUCGCCGCGUCUCGCGAGACAUUCCACAUCCACACGAAGGGCUCUGCGUCGAAUUCCAUCAGAGGCACUAGCCAUCCCUCUCCUCUCAUAACUUUGUUUAUCCGGGACAAGAAAUGCUUGCAGGCGGCGAGAUUCAUGCGAUGCAGGUCCAUGUUGCCAGGCUUGAGCACUUCGUAAAACUCCAGCUCCUCUCCGGGAUAAACCAGAUCGCCGCGAGUCAAAGCCACUCCAUUCCUUUGCAGCAAACCGGCCUGACCCGUGAGAAGUUCGAUGGCUCCGGCAACGUUCGCUACCGGUUUGCCUCCUUCCGACGGACACAGUCCCUACAACGGAGCCAUCCCUGUCCCUCACGCGGCAGUAGCUUAGCAAGUCUGCUUUGGAUGGCGUAGCCGGGUGGGACUUCAUGGUAUCUAGCUUGAACACGCUCAACUGCGACUCAAAUCAUGCUGCAAAGAGCUGACCAUCACACAUACCUGACCGUGAUCACCUCCAGAGGCAAUGAGACAAGCGUAGUCUUUGAUCUUCGCGUGCACCAGGCUCAGGCCCUGCAAAUGAUUCACUCAGUAAUUACCGACGUUCAAGUCUGUGAGUGAUACCUCAGGCUCUACGCACACAGGAGUCCACUUCCGAGAUUUCAUGUUGAGCAGCAUCGUUUGAGGCAGCAUGCCUGUGGGAAACACGCAGUCAAAAUGAUAGUGGAAUAGCAUACCACCAACGAUGUAGCAUUCGUCCCCAGAUCCAGUAGCCACAGCGAUGGACGUUGGCGCAGCAGGAAACUCCAUGGGCGCGGACGACUAUCGUUUCUGCGCAACAGCGACUAUCAGUUCUUGAGCUUUCAGCAAAAAGCGUGUCUCCCUCACAGUUUUGAGAUCCAACAUGUACAGCUUGUUGUCGCAGCCGGAGAAAAGGUAGAGAUAAUUGAUUGCCGUUGACGGAAGCAUCGCCAUGAAAACAAAACCCGGUGGACGAUACCACUACAGUGAAAGAAGCCGACGAGGUGAGGUUACAUGAACACACCUCUUUAGGAAUUAUUUCGAACCUUGUACUCCCACGUUCCCACACCUUCGUUUCCAGAUCAAAGGUGUAGACGUCGUCAAGCGUUCGACCGUGAAUGUCCUCGCCACCAUAAGGUAGCCGAGUGACCACGCGUUCCAGCCUAGAAAGAAGAUAUUUUUUCUGGUAAGAAAUAGCAAUUACCGGAGCAUCUCCAGUCGUUGUUACAUGGGGACACAAGCAUCAUCGCUUCAAACUCGUACACUACACAAAUAGACUUGUUUAAGUUGCUUUGCUACCUCGCAAUCUUUCGUCUGAUGGAAUCCGAACGAAAGCAAAGACCGUUGUUCCUCUUGCAACCUGAUAGAUAGUAUUAGCCACUGUGAAGAAAACUAGCUCUGGCAGGAACAGGAUGGAAGUAAAGUCCAAGUCCAGUUUCUCAAAUUCAAAACCUUGCUGAGAAAAAUCACGAUAUCAUAAGGAAAAUCACGAGACAGAGAAGUUUACCAGCGCAUCGCUCAGGUAUUUGUCCUCACAGCGUCCCCCGACAACAUACUUCUUUUGAUCGAGCACGACAGCUCCAUGCUGCAAUGCAGGAAGCAAAGUCACAGUAUUGAGGGCCAAAUCCUGUUAAAUUUACCAGACAUCGAGCUUGUGGGUGAGAAGCUGUGGUAUAGGUUCCCAUUGGGCUGCUGCACCGCUGCCAAACCACCUUUUGAACUAGUAAUAUCCACUAGCUAGUGCAAGAGGCGCCACCAUAGUCUUAACGCAGUGUCCUUAAACCCGUUAUUCCAAGGGUUAGACACUUCUUCCUCUUGGAAUAGAAUUGCCGCAAAUGGUUGCAAUUCGUCUUGCUCCAUGAGCCAGAAGACAUUUAUCGUAUGUCUCAUCUUGGCAAAUGCUUGAAUGAUCAAUGUCCAGGUCAUCGCCGUUUGAUCUUCCAGCUGCUCAAACACACGCUCUAUUAGAUUUAAAUGCGAGUGCCCUUGUAGAUUCUUGGAUCAGAAUGGAUCGAGGCAAAGCAUUCCUUUCGGGCUUUUAAUACCGCUAUUUUCAAAUGCCCAUUUAGAAAAGUAUACAUCAUGAGUUUGAAUUAGGGAAGAUAACUUCAUUAAAAACGAUGGAUUAUCUUCCACGGGAUUGACUAGACUAGGAUUAUCUUCCACGGGAUUGACUAGACUAGGAUUAUCUUCCACGGGAUUGACUUGACUAGUUCCACGGGAUUGACUAGGCUUUACACGAGCAGUGAACCUUGACUAAGUCAACAUUGAAUGAACAAUUUGUGAUUAUCCGCAAGUUGCCGAAAUUACAGGCUUUCUUGGCGGUCAAGGCUACUACGCUUGAAUAGAAUUGGGUAAUAUAAAAGAAUAGCAAACUGCGCUCACAUCAUACUCACUUCUCUCACUCUCACACAUUACAAGCAUCCAUUCACAGCAUCACACACAUUCGCACAAAAAUGGCCGCUUCUGCAAUUGCCGAGUUCGAGGACGCGUGCAAGAAUGCAGCUUCGAUCCAGGAGGAGCUUCUGCUCGGCAUUCUUCGCAAGAAUGCAUGCUGCGAGUAUCUCCAGAAGUAUGGCAGCCCGCUGACAGUUGCUGCAUUCAAAUCCCAGGUCCCAGUUAUUGGCUACGAUGAUAUUCGCAGUGACCUCGAAAGAAUUGCUGAUGGAGAUCGAGGGCAAAUUCUUUGCCAUGAUCCAAUCACCAGCUUCUUCACAAGGUAUCGCUAGGAAGACUUGCUUUCUUGCCAGUUUUUUACACUUGCGAUUAUCUAACAGCUCGGGAACGUCUUCCGGAAAGAACAAGAACAUCCCGGCGACUUACGAGAACACUGUCUCUGUGGUAAAAGUCCUCGAAAGCUCUUACGCUUACAAAACAAAGUAAGUUUCCCAAUCUUGUGGAAAUGUGCUAAGUUGCUGGGUUGUCUGUUUUGAAGCUACUUUGAUCUUGGCAAAGGACGUUCCGUGAGCCUGCUCUAUUUCAAGGAUCUACAUGCAACCAAAUCGGGUCUUGUAUUUGGGCCGGUCACGGCCCAUGGGAUCCGAAGCACGAGAUUCAGGCAGGUCUGGAGGUCUUCACGUACCACCCCUUAUGAGGUUCUCGUCGCCGCAAGUGAUUUUCGCGAGCUAACGUACUGCCACUUGCUGUGCGCGCUGCUCCAACGCCACGAGGUGGAGCAAGUCGAGUGUAUGUACGCAUACAGUAUCUGUGAGGCUCUCCGGCUGUUCCAGAACGAGUACUGGGAAGAGCUUUGCAACGACAUAAGAACCGCCAGCCUGAGCAAAACAAAAGUCACGGAUCCAAAGCUGAGGAAAGCGUUUGAAAGAGCUGGAGUUUUUCGCAGCAAAUGUGGCAACGCAAUGGAAGCCGACAAAAUCUUCAAGAUCUGCAGCAACGAAUCGUGGUCUGGAAUUCUUCCGCUGUUGUUCCCCAAAGCGAAGCUCGUGUCAGCGGUGGUAACGGGCGCGAUGACACACUACGUUCCGACGUUAAGCUUCUAUGCCGGGGAUCAGCUUCCUAUCGUUGGGCAGGGUUUCUUCUCGUCCGAGGGAGGCAUCGGGAUCAACAUCGAUCCUCUUUCUCCUCCAGAGGGCGUCAUCUAUACUGUCACACCCCGAUCUCUUUACUACGAGUUUCUUCCACUUGGUGCUACUGAAGCUCUAAGCAUGCAUGAAGUGGUUAUUGGGGAGCUGUAUGAGAUUCUCGUGACAAACUUUGCAGGUAGACGACAAUUUGGUUCUUUUCUUUAUCUCUAACAGCAAUCUUUCAUGAAAAUGUAUAGGUCUUUACCGCUGCCGGAUGGGCGACGUUGUGCAAAUAACAAGCUUUUUCCAUGGCGCUCCUCAGAUGGCUUACCAUCACCGCAAGAACGCAGUGAUGUGCAUAAACAACGAGACUGUGGACGAGCAAAUGCUACAAAACGUGGUGAACAAGGUCUCAAAGGAUGCCGGAGUUGAAGUGUUGGACUUCAUGAUCUAUGGCGAUCCAGUUGCCGUUCCUCCUUCCUACACGAUCUUCUGGGAGCUCGGGAAUGCCAAAGACUACUCCAAAACUCAAGUCUUGGAGCAGUGCUGUGCCAACGUACUUAAGUCUUUCAAUCCAGAGCAUACGAGAAAAGGCACGGACGGGCUGAUCGAUUCGUUCGAGCUGGUGAUUGUCAAGAAAGGAACGUUUGAGAGGCUGAUGGAGGAGGCUGUCAAGAACGGCGCGUCUCCAGCUCAGUACAAGACCCCUCGCUGCGUCGCGUCCUCGAGAAUAUUGGAAGCUCUCAACUCUGGACGCGUUCACAGCUACAAGAGCUCUGCAAUGUCGAAAGUCAACUAGGAUAAAUUAAUCUAUAUUUAUCUUUGACCGUGACUUCAGCAUUAUUCUAACUAAAUCUACAUUCUUCGUCUUUGACUGUGCCUGCGAUCAAACUUGGCUGCAAGACUCACUAAACUUAGACUCACGACUUGAAGAACUAGAAAAAAGCCUUAGACUCACGACUUGAAGAACUAGAAAAAAGCCUUAGACUCACGACUUGAAGAACUAGAAAAAAGAUCUCUAAAUUCUUCCAGCGCAUCACUUUGGAUCAUGAGAGGAGCCUGGUUCGUGCAUCAACGUGAAAAUUUCUCUAAGUGAAGAACUGAGUCAUGCAUAUACUGUACUGGUCAAAAGCUCUACAUAAAGAAUGGCCUUUUUGACACGACACGAAAGAUCUCAGCUAGUUUAAUGCUGCUUAUAAAACUCGACGAGGCUUUCCAUGUCAAAGCUAGACGCGGGAUCAAACGAUCUUUCCACGGCUCGGUCACUUGUCACAAGUGUAACGUGUUGCACACGACACAGAUUGAUGACCUUUUCAACUGCAUGAGCAGCUCUCCCCAAGUCGGGCCUCAAGUCGAGUUCUUCUUCUUCUGGACUUUCCGAAACGAAAAGGCGGUGAAUUCUCAAAAGGCAUUGACCCAAAAUUUCGUCCUCGGCAUAAUCAAACUCCAGCUGCCAGCCACAAAAUCACAGGUUCACUGCAAGUGUUAGAGUUUAGAGAACAAGCAACUAGGCUGAAAACUCACUUUCGCAAGGAAACCGAGCCCAAGCUCUAGCUCCUGGUAUUCGUCGACCAUGUUAAAUCUGAGCAAGAACAGUUCGUAGAAAUCAACAGAAUCAUGGCCAAAUCCAAAAUCAUCCUUGAGAGACAUGUCAGUUUUGAUAGAGGAAGUGUUUCGAGCUGUUCAUCUUCCCACUCAUAACCCGCCAACACAAGCCCGAACGAACGUUCCCAGAGAUUCUCACUCGCAAAAUUGAUGUAUACCGGCUUAGCCACCACCUUUUCAAGAGAUUCCGCUGAUACUAGAGUCACUUUUCCUCCGCCGUCUACUUCACUGGGAGAGACGAUAAGUUUCUCAAGCCUUGGAGCACUCACGAUGCAAGAAAAUCUGGACGAGAUCUCGAGCUCGAGAGCAUACUUUCCGGUGUUUGGAGGCGUUUCAAAGUAGAACCCAUUGACGUCAUCGUUAAUGUCGGGGUUACCAUAGUCGUCAUGCAAUUUGAGGUAUAUAUGUUUGAGGUUUGGGCACUGGCGCAAGAAUCUGUUGAGUGCCUGGUCCUGCUGCGGAACUGGCACCGUAAGAUCGAGAUGCAAAGUGUGAAGCUCUGGCAGGACGCAUAAACCCGUUGUAAUUUGCCCAAAAUCCUCUCCUGCGACCCGAGGCCGUCAAUUCGCAGCUCUUGGAGGUUGAUGCACUCGGUGGAGAUACGCUGCAAAGUUACAUUCCAUCCAAUCUCUAGCCCCAACAGCGAACUCCCCAAGAGCUUCGUCCAGUUUAGACAGUCUACUUUCAGGGAAGUGCUGCAAAGGCAGAAGCUGGUGAUUUUUUGUAGCCGGGAAGUGACCAUGGAGACCGAGGUUUGCACACAGUCGCAUUCGUCCAGCUCUGCCUUGUGCUUGCAACACCGGCCCAUUUCCGGGCAUGAAAUGCUGACGCCCUCGAACCAUUUCGUGUGAUCGCGCCAGGAGCGGCAGACCCCCGAGAGCGCCAGCAAGAACCGAAAUUCAUCCAGGAGGCCACGAUCUGAUAUACUUUCAAGAGGACAUCAAGCGGCAGUGGGGUCUGUGCACGAGGAAAAGCCGAGGCCAUCGUUAAUGCCGGGGUUACAGACCCCACUCGUGCACAGACCCCACAGACCCCAAUCGACAUUCUGUGCACGAGGAAAAGCCUCGCAACUUACUCCUUUUCCAUAGAAACGAGCCCUAAAAACCGUUUCCUUUCCAAGGAACGGGAAGACGUUUGAAGAAUAUGCCAAAUGGCAUCUUUUUUAGGGGUUUUAAGGAUUAGGGUUCUUCCAAGAAUGCGGGCGCGAUGGUGGGGGGAUGAUCCUGUCGGCGCUCCUUGCGGCGAUCAAGGAAUGCGGCAUCGCCAGAAAUCUGGAGCGCGGGCGCAGGCUUCACGAGCAGGCCAUCCACAGCGGCCACGAUUCAAACAAGUAUGUGGCGGGCAGCCUUCUCAGCAUGUAUGCCAAAUGCGGCAGAAUGGAGGAGGCGCGCAUGGUCUUCGAUUCCAUGCGCCACCGCGAUGUGGUUCCCUGGACGGCGCUGGCAAUGGGUUACGCGGAGAAUGGACAGGAGGAGGUCGCGCUGGAAAUUUUUGGGCGGAUCGAGCAGCCCAAUGCGCUGAGCUUCGUGGCGGCCAUGAGGGCCGUGACGGGGCUAGCGCUGCGCGAGGCGGGGAGAUUGUUCCAUGGGAGGAUUGUCAGGGUGGAAUCGCUCAAGAGAGGCGAGUGGAUCCAUUCGCAGCUCCACUGCCUCGUGUCGGAUAUGGUGGCGAAUUCUCUGCUCGAUAUGUAUGCCAAGUGUGGAUGCUUGGAGAGGGCGCUCUGGAUUUUCGAGAGGAUGCCUUGCCACAGCAUCGUGUCUUGGAACGCUCUUGUGCUGGGCUGUGCCGAGAAUGACGAGGCAGCCAUGGCGGUGGAGCUGUUUGAGAGAAUGGUGGCCGGCAGCGCUUCUGGCCAGAGCUCCACUCCACCGCCACCGAAUGGAAGAAGUUUCGUCUCGGCGCUCAAGGCUUGCUCGGUUCUAGCAUCCCAGGAAGAGAGCAAAGAGAUGGUGGAUGGAAGAGCUGUGAAGAGUCGAGCUUUGGAGAGAGGGAAAUGGAUCCACUUGAGACUUUGUAGCAACAGCGAAGUUGGCCGAGACCACUAUGUGUCGAGCGCACUUCUCGACUUCUACGCAAAGUGUGGGAGCAUGGUGGACGCGCGCAGGGUGUUCGAUCGAAUGCCACAGCACGACUCGGUCACUUUGAACGCGCUACUGCUCGGAUACACGGACAACGGCGAGGACGAGAUGGCCUUGGAGCUGUUCUUGAGCCUCUCCAGAGUUCUCGGUGAUGGGAGGAGUUUCGUGGCUCCUCUCAAAGCUUGCAGCAAUCUGGCUGAGAAGGAACUAGGCCAAAUCGUCCAAGGCCAUGGGAAGCUUGUCAAGCUGGAAACUCUGGAAAGAGGCAUGCUCGUGCACUCGCUGGCAGUGAAAAGCCAGUGUGAGACGGACGUCUUCGUGGCGAGCAUCUUGGUGACGAUGUACGCGAGGUGUGGAAGCAUGGUGGACGCUCGCAAAGCGUUCGACAGGAUGCCAAGUCGCAAUGUGGUGUCCUGGAACUCACUCAUCCUGGGAUACUCCGAGAAUGGAGAGCCCGAGCUGGCUAUCGAGUCCUUCGAGAGCAUGGAACUCCAGGGAAACUCUCCAACUUUUCUAGCAGCGCUCAAGGCUUGUUCCAGCCUUGCCGACAAGGAAGGGGCGAGCUACGUCGAUGGAAAGCUUGUCAAGGCCAAGUCUCUCGAGAAAGGCGCAGCUCUUCACGUCCAAGCUUCCAGAGCUGGCUGCGACUCGGACACCUUUGUGGCGAAUUGCUUGGUGGACAUGUAUGCCAAGUGUGGGGACUUGGCCGAAGCGAGCAGGGUUUUCGAGAGCAUGACGAGCCACAGCGUGGUUUCUUUCAACGCUCUCAUGCUGGCCUACGCCGAGAACCAACAGGGGGACGUGACUUUCGGCUUUUUCUCUCGAAUGGUGCCGGAGGGAUGCCAGCCGAAUGCUCUCAGCUAUGUUGCAGCGAUCAAAGCGUGCUCGAGCUUGGUCACUCUAGACAUUGGCAAGGGAAUCCAGGCUCAAGUCUGCCGCCGCGGCUUGGAGAGUGACCCGGUUCUAGAGGCCAGUCUCGUCGACGUCUUUGGCAAGUGUGGAAGCAUGAUGAACGCUCAGCUGGUGUUUGAUUCAGUCCCCGGCAGGGAUCCAGUGACUUGGACUUCUCUCAUGGUAGGCUACAGUCGACAAUGUGAUUCUCACAUCGUUUUCGAGCUUUUCCAGGAGAUGAAAGAGCAGAGCUUGAGGCCAGACGCGGUGACUUUCAUCGCCAUUCUCACUGCUUGCAGUCACGCGGGCCUGGUGGAGAGAGGCAAGGGCUACUUUCGAGAGAUGAGCUCCAGGUAUGGAGUGGAGCCCCAGAUCGAGCACUACUCUUGCAUGGUGGACAUUCUGGGACGAGCAAACCGGCUGCCCGAGGCGGUGGAGCUGCUGGAAAGAAUGCCGGUGAGAGCGAGCAGGAUCACUUGGUCGACGCUGCUGGGCGCGUGCAAGAAGUGGAAGAACUUGGAAGUCGGGAGGUUUGCGUUUGAUUCGCUCAUGGCGCUGGAUGACAGUGAUCCCGCGGCCUAUGUGCUCAUGUCCAACCUCUAUAACCAGAGCUCGCAAGAGAUUGUGCCUCAUGGAAGUUCUUCUUGAUCAACGGCCUUUCAGCUGAUAUGGAACGACCAACGGCCAAGUGCCGUACUACCCUCGCGAAUAUUCGUACGAAACGCAUAGCGACCUAGGGUUUAUCGUGAGAGGGACAUGGCGGCCAAGAUCCAGCUUCCCUCCACGUUCCUCUCGUAUCUCAUCAUGUUCACGGCGGCGUUCACCGGUGCAUCGAUCGUCCACAACAUCGCCAAGCCGGAUCUGGUAAGCGCGAUUGAUCCAUCGAUUAUUUCUUUCUCAUCCACUUUUUCGUGGGGCAGAGAUUGCCGAAGGUCGAUGAAGCAGGCAACAAGAUAGAUGCUCGCGAUUCUUCUGAUUCUAGGGGAUGAAGGAAGAAUGCCGCUCUAUUGCGAUCGAGAAAGCCACAGCUUAGCAGCUCUGGCCAGCUUUCGCUCCAUCUGACGAUCCUCCCAUCCAUCCUGGUGCUUCUCUCCCUCUCAGCCAGAGCCGCGCAAGCCAUAGCCACCACUAAAGUAGCACCGCUAGGCGAGGAGCUUGGAGAGAGGGAUGGCUGUCUAGCGGCCAAGUGUGGCUGGGACUCCAACCUCUUCGUGGCCAACACGCUCAUUGGUAUGUACUCAAAGUGUGGCUGUGUGGCCGAGGCUUACGCUGUUUUCUCCAGGUUGACGCUCUGUCUUGGAACUCUCUCAUGCUCACUACACUCUCGGGCUAUGGAGCUGGGCUUUGUGUCGGAUGUCUACGUUGGAAGCACGCUGGUCGACAUGUACGCGAGCUGUGGGAGACUGGGCCGUGCUCGAGAGGUGUUUGAGAAGAUGAGGCAGCGGGAUGCUGUGUCGUAGACCACCAUGAUCCAGGGAUGCAUAAACAACGAGGAAGGGGAGAUGGCUUUGCAGCUGUUUCGACGUAUGAGCUCCUGCGAAGAUGGUGUUCUACCCGAUGGUUCCACCUACGUGGCGGUGUUAACGGCUUGCGCUGGCCUGGCUGCGAGAGAAGUGCUCGUAUGAGGAUCCGGGAAAGCUGGUGAAGCUCCAGUCUUUGCAGAAGGGGAUGGAGAUUCACAGGCAGGCUUUAAAGUCCGGCUACUCUUCGGACUUCUUCGUGGCCAGCUCCUUGGUGGUGAUGUAUGGCAAAGUGUGGAAGUAUGGCGGAUGCUCGGGCAAUCUUCAACAGGCUUCCUCGUUAUGAUGCGGUGUGCUGGACGGCACUGAUACUCGGCUACGCGGAGAGCGACGAGGCCGAGCUAGCUUUGGAGCUCUUCUGGUGCAUGCAACGAGAAGUAGGCUGUCUUCCGCGCUCUCGGACGAUUGUCACAGCACUGGUAGCUUGCAUGGGACUGGCAGCGAAGGAACAAGGUCAGCAGAUUGAUGGAAAGCACGUGAAAGUUUCGUGUUUGGACAAAGGCAUGGGUAUCCACUGUGAAGCUGCGAAGUUCGUUUUCGUAGCCAGCAGUCUCGUCGACUUUUAUGGGAAGUGUGGAAGCGUGCUGGAUGCGCGGCUUACCUUUGACAGAAUGCCGCGGCAUGACACGGUGGUGUGGACAGCGAUGAUCCAGGCCUGUGGAGAGAAUGGAGAGGAUGAAGCGGCAGUGGAGUUAUUCCAUUGCAUGGAGACUCGGGGGCUGCUGCCAAACGCUUGGACCACUGUCGCUGCGCUGAGUUCCAUUGCUACUUUGGCUGCUGCAAGGGAAGAAGAGGACUGCGUGGGGACGGACUACUUGGAGAGCGUGACGAGCAUCUCUCGCUGCCGCGACGUCCACUUUUAUCAUGGAGAACACGCUGAUUGACGCCUACUCCAAAUGCGGUAGCGUGAUGGAUGCCCGGAAGGUGUUCGAGUCCUGGAACGCUCUCAUACUUGGGCUCGUAGACAACGGGGAAGCCGAGCUUGCGACCGAGAUGUUCGCACGCAUGACGCAGAACGAGAGCAGUCCAGCAGCGGCGAACACCCGGACUUUUGCCGCCGUGCUCACGGCUUGGAGCAACUUGGCAGCCUUGGAGACUGGAAAGCUCGUCCACGCUCGCGUUUGCCGGCUGGGGGUGGAGUGCGAGCCAUACGUAUCCAACUGCCUGGUGGGACUCUACAGCAGAUGCGGGUCUAUAAGCGACGCCGAGGAGCUGUUUGGUUCCAUCAGCGACCGGAAGAGCGCGGUGGCAUGGUCGGCGCUGCUAGGCCAAGGAGCUUGCGAGAAAGUGUUUAGCUUGCUCGAAGGAUCCGCAGGGAAGGCUUAGCAUGGCGUGGUACAGGAGCUCAAGCACUACCACUGCAUGAUCGAUAUGCUUGGAAGGGCCAACCUGGUGGGUGAAGCGGUGGAGACGGUGGAAACCAUGCCGUAUAGAGCAACAGCCAUGACUUGGACGAUUGUCUUGGCGGCGCGCCGCUGGGAUUGGUGAAGCUGAGAGAACGCGGCGGCCUACUUACAGCCACCGGGAGGUUGAUCUCUCUCGCAAUUAGUCGGUUUGGUUCCACGUCAGCUGAAAGUCUGAUGUCAGCACCUAGAAUUUUACAUGGAUUUGAUGUGGCACCCUGAGAAGAAUGGAGGGAGCGAAGCCCAAACCAUCGAGGAUGAGAAGUGGAUGCGAUUGGAGGAGGCUUUGUGUUUUGAUCCCUUCGAAAGCUGACGAUUCGAUCAAACUUCGUGUCUUGGCUUUGGUUCCUCCAGUGGUAGUGGCGUUGCCUUUUUGCAGCAUUAUUCGUUGCCACUACAUUUGAUGGUUCCACGACGGGCCACGUUCACAGUGUUCUCAUGGAAAUGCAAGUCAGAGCUUUGAAAAACCAUGGAACUUAAAUUGUUGCAUCUUCAGAUGAGCAUAGCAACGGCUUACAGAGUCCCACAAAAAGUACGCUCCAUUUCACAAGUAAUUUCCUUUUUCUAUUUCUCUGUUCUUGUCGUUCCCAAUGUGAUAAUCUCGUGACAGCUUAAGCUCUCUGGAAAAACGAGAGGCUUGUAAAGACUGCCCGAGGUUCCAAUGUUAUUCAAGUAAUUUACAUGUUUCAGUGCUUUUUUAUCUCUGGUGUGGAGUAUGGAUGUUUUUACUAAUCAACAGGAAAUGGAAGAAAAUGUUUCAGUUCGAUCAAAUUCGCUACUCCAUCGUUUCUGCGCAUUAUUUAAAUUUAAAUUAUCAUAACUUGGUUCCUCAGUGCCUUUCCUAAGUUCAGGGCCCGACUUGGGAAGAGCUGCUCAUGCAGUUGAAAAAUGGUCAUCAAUCUAUGUGGUGUGCAACGCGUUACACUUGCGAGAGCCGUGCAAAGAACGUUUGAUCCUGCAUUUAGCUUCGUCAAGUCUUAUAACCAAACCAUGCAUUAAACAAGCUGAUCUUUGUGAUCUUCUUUAGGAUCAUAGCUGCACAAGCAUUUGCAUGGCUCUUCCGAAGCCGGUCCCAUGCCCAAACAGGCUGCUGUGACUGUAAAAACAUCUAUCUUUCUAUCUUUGUAAUCUCUAAAUUCUUUCGUCGCGUCAUGGAAAAUGAGGCCAAUCCCAAGAAUGAGUCAAUUUUGUCUUUUUGACACAACAUGGUAGACAAUUGGACGCUGGAAGCUAUAAGUAAGCUUUAUAGUGAACUACAAAUCUCAGUGUGGACGAGAGAAGCAUGAGAUUAAAUUUUUUUUUAGUUAGAGGUCUAAAAGUCCAGAGUCCAGAGUCGAGAGCAUCCGAUGUUCUAGAGGCACAGCGAGGGGUCUUAAACUGAGCUGGGCGUUUCUGACGGCCUCCUCUGACCAGCUCGAAUGAAUCGAUCACCCCGUCCAUGAUUGUGUAUAGAUAAUAUUCUUAAAAAGGAAUAUGAGAUGUCAGCCAUACAUGAAUGGUUCAUUUUGUGUUAAGGUUACACUUAAUAAAAAACAAUGUGAAUGGAGAUUUGUCAUAGCCACUCCCAAUCUUAUAGGCUGUGCCAAAAAUAUAUAAAUCAAACCAAAAAAUGUAUUAAUUAUUUUGUAUAUUAAUCAUACAUAUCAAGCUUCAAAAUAAAAUUAGCAUUAAUAUAUUAUUUUUAAUAAAAAUUUAAAUAAAUUUUAUAAUAGAGUAAAUUAAUUUUAGUGGAAAAUAGUUCCCAAAAAUAAAAUUUAAAUGAUCAUAUAUUUUAAUAUGAAAUUUUUAUGACCCCAUAAAGAAGUAUUAUUUUAAAAUAAAGAUAUAAUUUCUACAAUUUUAAAACACAUUUACAAUUUCAUAAUACCUACUAAAAUAUAUUUUUCUAAGUUAAAUUCUUUUAAAAAUGUUAUUGUUAGUCACUCUUUAACUUAACAUUAAUUUAUUUUUACUAUCAGUAAUAUUGGUAUUAAAUAAAUGAUAUGGAAAAUAGUUGUAUAAAAAUGCAUAAAUAAAAUAUAUUUUACAAUUGUAAAAAGUAAUACUGAUACUCUUAUACUUUAUAAGAACAUGACAAUUUUAGUGAUGUCUAAAUUGUUUUUAUGAAGUAAGGAGGAAGAAAACCAAUAACAAAUUAUAGUAAUGUGUAUUUACAUACCAAAUAAUAAAUAAUAAAAUCAAAUAAAUUACUUAAUAAAUAUCUUUAAAUAUAGAAUUAUUUAAUAUAAAAAUUACAAUUGUGAAUCAAAUUCUUAUAAAUAUAGUUUUAGUUAAAUUAAAAAAAAUUAUUUAAAGAAAACUACUAAAACUACCAAAAGAUUUUAUUUCUCACUUAGAAUUUAUUAAACAGUCAAACUAGCUUAUUAACAUUGUUUCAUUAUAAAAGAAUUUUAUAUAAAUAUACAUAUGUAAAGAUGAGGUGAGACCAUUUCUUGCAAUUCAGGGCCAAAGGAAUUUCCUUUAGAAGCUCUAUAGCAUCAACUAAAUGGAUUCCCCUUCCCAUGAUUAUAUAAUCAUAAUGAUAUUUUUUAGUUUCAAUAGUUCCAAAUUAUCUUUUAGAUGCUUAUUGCAAGGACACUAUCAUACUAAACUUAAAUGAAGCAUAACAUUGAAAAAUUUGCAAGCUCUUCCAUUUUGGGCAUAAGCAGAAAUCAUCUAAUAUCAAUCUCGUUAAAGAGAAUCUAUGCAUUAUUAAAUUAUUUUGUGUUUGCUAAAGAACGAAAAAAGAAAAAUAUGGAAGCUACUAAGUUAUAUGCUACCAACAAAUAUGGGUAAAAUAAUGCCAUGGAGCAGUAUAAAUUGUUUCUUUUACUAAAGAUAUGAGUUUAACGUUGGUAAUAUAUCAGAUUCUUGUGAAAUAAUGGUUUGUGUUUUAUGUAUUUUUAGAGCUUUCAAACCAGAGUGAAAUAGUAUAUUUUAAGAUGAUGUUGCAUAUCAAGUAGUGGAUCGUCUGGGAAACACCAGGAACCAUGUAAGAAAAAUAUACUUGAGAUCAAAAACAUUACAAAUAAGGAAGACAAAGUAAUUAUUAGUAAGCAUCAAAACAUAAAAUAAUAAUGAUAUAAAACUUUUUGUGUUUGAAAUUUAACUAAAAAAUAUAGUAUCAUAACUGAAAAUGAUAUUAUCAUCAAUGUGAGUAUUUAAAAAUCUAUCUAAAUUUUUUUCCAUAGUCCUUUUUAAAUUUAACUUUAUAGUAGACUUAAUAAUAAUAAAUAUUAAGUCUAGUAUUUUAAAAUGUUUACUAUUAUUUAAUUGUAUAUAUUUUAAGAUGGUUUUCGAGUUUUAUAAUAAUUAAAGAAUAAAACUUAAAAUUUAUUAAUAUUCUAUAUCUUAAAAAAUAUCAUAUCAAAAAUUAAAUAAUUUAAUAUUAAUAUAUUUAAACUAUAGCUAAUGAAAUAUUAUUAGAAAAUAGAUAAAAUCUAUUAAUCUCAAAAGCCUACUAAAAAACUGCAUGUUGAGAAAACCAUUAUGGAUUCAUGUAAAAAUAUGCAUUUAAGGAUUUAGUGAAGAAAUUCCAUUUUACAUGUAAAUUUAGAGUUGUACACUUUAUGUUUUUGAGAGAAAACUAAUAAUAAUUUUUGUGAUAGAAAUUAUAAAAUUUGAUAUAUUCAUCCUAAAUCUUUUAGCAAAAGGGAUAUUUUAUAUUAUGAAAUAAAUCAAUAUUUUAGGAAAAAACCAUUAGGUAUAAAUUUUAAACUCUCUCUCUCUCUGUAUAUAUAUAUAUAUAUAUAUAUAUAUAUAUAUAUAUAUGCUUUAUGAAAAAAUAUGUUAUUGUUGGUUGAGUUGUACACUGAAAAGUAAUGAAUCAUAAUUUUUUGUUAUAUUAAUAGUUAUAAUGUUUUAAAUGUUAGUAAUUCAUAAUAUAAUUUUAUUCAGAAAUAAAUUUUAUAUUUAUUAUUAACUUAAUCUUAUCUAUUUUUUUCUUUUCUAUGUUAAUAUUGACUUUUUUUUCAAUUGUUUUUGGUCUUGAUAAAUGUACAAGCUCUAAAUUCAUUUACAUGGUUACAAAGAAUGAUACUUUAUUAAAUUAGUAGGAUGUUAAAUUGAAGAUUGUAAUAGUUCAUGAUAUAAAGAAUGUUUAUUGUAAAUACUAUUAUUAUUACAUAGUUUCAAAUCUUUUAAGCUGCUCAAAAUUUUAAAAUGACCUUAAAGAGAAAACCAAAUAUGGGAAAAACAAAAGCUGCUAAAGGCUAGUAUAUAGAAAAUUUAAGUUCAAUUUCAAAAUGCAUAUUUGUGGAUGGAGUGAUUGUUUUAGUUAUCAUUUACAUGAACCACAUUUCUGUUGAGACUACUUGUAUUGUUUUAAUUUUUUGCCACCUCUUGGGAGGUUUUGAGUAACCAUAGCUACGAUCAAUUAAUUUAGCAAUUUGACUAAUAUUGUAGCUUUUGUUUAAAUUUUAGGUUGUUAAACUUGGGUUGCAUCAGAUAUGAAUUGGUAUUGUUACCUGGUUGUGUGGUUCCAACACAUAGCACACACAAAGCAAAAAGGAGUGGAGUUUAGCAUCUUUCAUGGAGCACAACCUCCAAAUAAAAUCUUUCAGAUUUUGGAUUUCAAUUUGAUUUAGAUCUAGGAUUUUGAUAUUUUUGUUAUUAUGUUGAAUGACAUUGAUUAUGCACAUUUGCAACAAUUAUGCCAAGGCUAGAAAUCUGCAUUUGCUUAUGCAUUUGAAUUCUAAAUGGAUACCACUGAUAUUUCAUGGGACAAUAUAUAUUUCAUGGGACAAUGCACAACACUAAUGGUUCCUUAGUUCCAAGCCAGAGAGUAGUAUGCAACUAUAGUUUAAGGGUAUACAGUUUAGGUUUCAUAAUUUUCUCAACCAAUUUAAACUUUAAAUCACUAUGCACUCUAGCCAAUAUUUAGGCCAAAGUACAAUAGAGAUAAGGGAUAAAGAUUCUGUUGCACAUAUCAUAAACUCAUACAUUAAGUUGAGGUUGUUCAGUAGGAUAAAGAUAACAUAGCCAACUUCAAGCAUAAAUGUUUAUAGAGUAUAAUUGAUUAAUCAACAGUUAGGAUUACAACUUUGACACUUAAGGCUACAAUCUUGAUAGUCAGGAGUUAGGAAGAAGUGGUAGUUACCAACAUGUAGGAGUAGUUAAGGGGGAUAGUUAGCACUCAAGUUUAUUUCAAGUCAUUCUCUUCUGGGUGUAUCAUGGAUUCUAUUGGCAUCGAUAUUAUGGGUGUCCAAGGGAAGUUUGAAAAGGUAAAUAUGUAUUUUAUAUUUUUAUCUAAUUUUUAAACUUUCUUAUUUUCCAAAUUGGACCUAUCAUGCCUUUUGUAGAAACAUACAUAAUAGGUUUCAUGAUAGCAAGUGUGUAACACAUGUUUUACCUAGGUAUAAUUGUUCCAUUGACAUUAUACCCAACCUUGUGGAUGGGCAGAUUCACAACACGUUUCCAGGGUAUUGAUUUCAAACUCUAUUAGCGAUACAAGUUUUGUUUAAGCUUUAUUGCUCAUCAAAUGGUGUUGUGAUUGAUUAUACAGUAGGUUCUAUGGUGGAGGUAGCAUAUGACUUUGGUAGAUCGGUAUUUGCUAUUAAAGAAUAUCAUUUAUUCAAAUAUUGGGUUAGAGGAUUUUGUGAGUUGCCUCCAACCUUAAAGAGGUAAAUUAUGUUUAUUAAGAUUUUAAUAUAUGUUUAGUUUUGUUUUAUAAAUCACAUUCACCUAGAGUUUCUAGAAUUGGAGGCUUUGGAAGUCUUUCCAACUAUACAAAAGCUAUGGUUUAACAAAUGCAAGGUAAAUCUUCCCCACAAUACCAAUAUAGGAGGAGGCAUAAAAAGAAUCAAUAUAUUGAUGAUGAGACAGAAGAAAGUUAAUUGCAUCUUUACAUAAAAUGAAAAGCUUAUUAUAUAUCAGAUGUUUGUAAAAGUGUUAGAUGUUAGUGAUAGUGUCAAUGUUAGAUAUCAUAAUUGUAAAUUAUCAUUCCACCUAUCAUCAUCACUUUAUAGCACUUGUGUGUUGCUAUCUCCUCUUUCAACAUUUUGUAAACAAUUGUAUGUAUGAUAGCAUCGUCUAGAAGAAGGUAUAUUACCUAUAACUAAUAUUAUUUCAUUAUAUAUAUAUAUAUUCAUAUUAUUUUAAAAGUGACAAUAUUAUAGUAUAGUAAAGUAAUUCUAAAUUUUACAUUCCACUAUAGGGUAGUUUAAAAACCCUAUAUUUCGCACUAGCUAAUGCAAUAUUUUCUAAGGGGAUGCUAUUUCUCACUAUGAAGAAAUAGUGGGUAUAUGUCUAUAAUUUAUUCUUGAAUCUAUUGUACAUCCACAUAUACAUAUUUUCUAGACCCACAGUUGGGCAAUUGUUAUAGUGCUCAAGAAAAAUUUGUAAACCCAUAGAAUUAUUUGUCUUAUCCAAAAAAUAGCAACAUAUUGGAUAUUGAAUAUAAUAGUGUUCUAUGCUUUUAAGUAGUUAUGCAAUGUCAGAAGCAAGAUCUUGCAAAAACAUAUAGCAUUGCUCUUGAAGCAUUGGAGGCAAUCUUUCUUUAGUAGCAAGAUCUAGAAUUUUAUAUAGAGAGUUCUAGUUCAACUUCACUAGAACCCCAAGUAGAAAGAGGAUUAUUAUGUGGAAGUAAAAGUGUAAUGUUGGUAGAACUUAAGGAUAGAGGUGGAGAUUGAUAUAAAAUGUUUGGGGGCCAAGUAUGAGUAACAGUAACUAGUAACUUUCUUUUGAGCUAUUUCGAUACAAAUUUCCAAGGAGCCCAAUUGGCUUUAUAUAGCCAUUCAAAUGUAAUUAAGCUUGUAUAAGAUUAGAUGUAAAAAGGUUGAGAUUAAUAUUGACCAUGAGGUAUGAUUUUAUAAUUGUUUAUUUUCUUCCUUGAUGCCAUUACAUAAUCAUCUUUUACUAACUAAGUGAUAUUUAUAAUUUCUCAAAAAAGGGCAGGGGACUAAGGAAAAAAGGAAAAAAGGUAUCCUAGUAAGAAAAAAAUUUCAUUAGUCCCACAUAACAAGUCAAAGUAGAAUAUUGGCUGGUGAUAUAAAGUUUAUUUUGGUUAAAAAAACUAUAAAACCUAGAGUAUAUAUCCUCAUAUACCAAGAACUAAAAAAGCCACUACAACUUGUUUGUCUCGUAAUUCCAAAAGAGUUUGGCGUCUAUCUAUAAGUGGCAAAGAGCAACGAAGAUGCCCUCUAUAAUGAGAGCUGCAAGCUCUCUUGGACUUCCCAUAGCUCCUGCACACGUGAGAACAUAGAGAUAUUGUCCAUGUUUCGCCAGCAGAACAUUGCUCAAAUCCUUUGUAUUUGCCAAGGCCCAUGUGAGUAAGGACCGCCACUCCUCCCUACUGAUCAAACUUGCCUCACCCAAGUUGUAGAGUAUGUGAUCAUGGGAUAAGAUUUGAAUAUACUGUCACCGUGGAUCCUUAGAACCUUGAGGGAUAAAUGGGAAUAAAAUAGCCACUAAAGGCUCUCUUAUCAAGUAAUUACCCCUUUUUUAGUUGGAUUAAGGGGAGAGAAAUAAAGUGUGCUAUAUAUGGUAUUGGAGUAAAUAAUACGGAUUCAAUUCCCAUUGAUUAGUGGCUAUUUAAAAAAUAUAAUAUACCCUUGAGCAAGCCUCUAAAAUUAAAAUUGUAUGUAUUGGGCAUCCAUACGUAUAUCCUUCUUGGUGGAGCAUCCAUAGACGAAGGUAUCCACCGUGGGACUGUGGUACGGGUGGAUGAUUAGUUGCCUCAUAUGGAAUAACUAGUUUACACAAUGGAAAGAUUGGUAAAUUUAGUGCGAAAAUGGAAGUGUUAGUUCUGCUUGGUUCAGUAGGGGUUGUUAGUCAAUAAUCAAUGAGGACAUUGACAUCUCUAAAUAGGGGGUGAGUGUAGUGCAUAUGAUCAUGGGAUAAGAUUUAAAUAUACUAUCACCAUUGUAGCGCAUGUGAUCAUGGGAUGAGAUUUGGAUAUACUGUCACCGUGGAUCCUUGGAACCUUGGGGGAUAAAUGGGGAUAAAAUAGCCACUAAGGGCUCUCUUAUCAAGCAAUUGCCCCUUUUCCAGUUGGCUUAAGGGGAGAGAGAUAAGGUGCGCUACAACCAUAGAUCCUUAGAACCUUGGGGGAUAAAUAGAGAUAAUAUAGCCAUUAAAGGCUCUUUCAUCAAGCAAUUGCCCCUUUUUUAGUUGGAUUAAGGGGAGAGAGAUAAGGUGCACUACAAUAGUGCCGCUUUAUCAAACUAACAUUUAAUAGUAGCGUAAGGGGGAAGUGGAGGCUAGUGACUCCCAAGACCAAGUACGUGAGUAGCAAUCAUCCAAGCGGUUCAUUCCCAUCAACAAAGGGAUGUAUCACCUGGAACUCCAAGAAGAAGCGUGCUGCCAAUUUGGCCAUGUCCAUAAUGAGAGCUGCAAGCUCUCUUGAACUUCCUAUGGCUCCUGUGUGCAUGAGAAUAGAAAGAUACUAUCCAUGUCUCACCAAUGGAACACUACUCAAAUCCUCUGCAUUUGCCAAGGCCCGCAUGAGUAAGGACUACCACUCCUCCCUACCAAUCAAACUCGCCUUGCCCAACUUCUAGUCUGCUCUUUUUUAGCACACAUAUGACAUCACCAAGUUUUGGCAUGAUCGGUGAGAAAGGAUUGCGCAUAUGCAACUUUUGUAUAAUUAUCUACUUCUGCUGUUAUGAAAUAGUUUUCCAUAUUGUAGACCCAAUCUUCCAAAACCUAAUAGUUCUGCAUGCCUCUAAAAUUAGGUGGUUUUGGAGACCUUAACUUUGAAACUUGUGCAGCUAGGGGCGGUUGUAGAACUUCAUCGUCCUUAGAACUUGAAGAGGAGUUCAAUUGUUUAGGUUUAACUGCCUCAAUUUCUUUCUUCUUCUUUUUGUUCUCCUUCUUCAAUUUGCAAACUUCCCUUCACAAAUUCUUUAUCUCAACUUCUUGAGUCGUAUGCUACAGUGCCAUAGCAUUUGGCUCUUCCUCUUCUAACUUAGCCUCAUCCUCUUCUGUAACAUCUCUAGCAAAAGUUUCCUUCUCUCAAUUUGCCCAUCUAUAAGUUUCAACAUCAUCAAUAUGAUUCCUUUUCACCAUCUCACUAGUUGCAUAUAUGCCUCUAUCAAUAACUAAAUAUACAUAUAACAUUUUUAGCAGAUGGUGCAAUCCAACUAAUCCUAUAUAGGUCACUUCGGAUCUACUAGAAAGUCUUUGCAUAUACAACUUGAGUAAAAAAAUCUGACAAAAGUUGGAUAGGAAUCACUAAGACAAUUCCUUUAAUACCAAAUGUAGCACACUUAAAUUUGGAGCCCAAUUCCAAGCCUGUUGUGUUACAAAACAAGGGUUCGGUAAAAUCUCACAAGCACUAGCCCCCCACCUCUCUCUCGAUGAUUCAUUUUGAAAAAGAGUGUGGUUGUGUAAACAACUUCAUCUGCUAGUUUAUAAUAAUUGUCUAAAUCUUCCCAACAAGGUUGAUUUCUUGCUCAGAGGAAGUUAGGCCUCUAGUCUUCUCCCUAUAUCCCUGCAGGCAAGGAUGUAUCAUUCCUUUGUAAGCUGAGUGGUACUCGGAGCAGCAAGUGUGGCUAACUGCUAUUUAAAUUUAGUAGCCAAGGGUGGCUAACUAAUUUAAAUAUUCUUUUUUUACUACUAUAAUAGUAGAAGAUUAAUAUUGUUAGUUCCUUUUAUUAGUCUUUGCCCACACUAGUUAAAAAACCUAUGCUUAUAGCAUUGAAAUUGUAAUAUGGAUACAUACCCAAAAUAAAUAUAAUUUCCUUUCCAAAAAAAGUAGGGUUUUAAAGGAUUUAUACUUAAAGUGGUAAAUACAAAUUCAUCUUUUAUACUCCAUUGCUUUAACAUUUUAUUAAUUAUUUUUCUUUCUCUCAAUGACAAGUCUGUACUAUGCAAUAUAGUUAAUAUUCCACUAACUUCUUGUGUGGAAAGGGGUUGUUCCAAAUGUAUAGUAGGGAUCCACCCUUGGCUACUAAAUUUAAAUAGCAGUAGAAGUGGGAGUCUGGUAGUUCACAGCCAAGACCACAUGCUAGUGGCAAGAUUAAAGCCAUAAUAAGGAGCAAAGAGUGUGGAAGCAAGUCCAAGACCAAGAGCCAAGUUUUGGGUAGUUGAUUGAUGAGUUUUUCGUAUACUUUUCUCAUCACCUCUCUAUAUUCAUCAUCUCAGAAUAGCUAAGCAUGAUUCAAGCUUAGAUUCAGGCUUGGAUCAACUUCUUGAUCAUGAAUGGGAGUGUUAGAGGUAGAGAUGAUGUGGCAUGUAGAUAUGCCCAUGUGGCAGUAGUUCCAUGUAUAUGUACCAUCCAUAUACAGUUGAAUACAUAGAGAGAAAGUUCUUCCUCCUUGUGUGCGUCUCUCUGCUGCUAACAGAUGCCACCGUGUGUGGCAUUGGUCCUGCAUCCGAGAAAUGCCAGGCAAUCCAGGCAUUGUAUUUCCUUCAGACCAUGGCAUACGAUGCUGAAGCUCUUGCUACAGAAAACAUUCGAUGGCCUAAGGAGUUUUAUCUCUGAUUGUCAAUUGUAUAAUGUCCCUGAUAGGUGUCUCCAUUCCUUUACAAAUGACGGUAAGAUCCAGCAGGUCAUUUUCUUAAAAACAGAUGGAAGAAAAGCUGAAGCAUUGGUAAACAGAGACUACUUGGCAUUUCCACUAAUUUUCAGUGGUUUUAGCAGCCAGCAGUUGCAGCUAGUUAGGUGUCAAACUUGCACUAUCAACUUCCAAAUUUUCUGUGCUCGCAGACGAAGAUCGAGGCCGUCACAACCUGUGAUUGCAAGGUAACAAGUAUCCUUUUUGGAAUUCUUCAAAAUCGGGACAAGAAGUCGUGGAUAGGAUUUGACAGUUCUAGUUUCUUCUCGACAAGUAUGGUGAAAAUCAAAAUGCGCUUUUAUGCUCGAAAAGAUUAGAAACGAUGCUUCUAGAGAAGCCCCAUAGCUGGUUCACUACUCUGGUUAGGCCUUUGUAACAUGUUGGGGAGCUUGGAUGUUGUAUAUCCGUAGCUUUCAGUCCCAACCAGCGAACACCUUGUUCCUACAGCAACAUAUAUGUGGCACCUCUUACAUUCUAUUUCGUUUCACUGCUUUAUGGACCGCAUGAGAAUCUCACACUCUGCGAUGGUGUCACCUGCCCCAAAUCACAGACGGUCACAUUCGAUUGAACUCUGCGUGCAGUGCCAAGACAAUCGGGCAGAUCAUAGAAAAAUGCGGCUUGACCCAAAUAUGUGAAGCGAUAGAAGAGUGGACAUAUCGAGGUGCAAGGAUUGGGCUGGGCCGUGUAACUCACUCCUGGGUCUUGGCAAGCUGGGAGCAUGUAAACAUCGAGCUUGCUGUUCCCAUCAACUUGAGUGAUUAAGAUUGCUCCCAUUGUAAUCACUGCCAUGAUCUUCAAGAGCUUGAGUGCCUGAUCAGAGAUGUUAUUUAGGUAAUACUUUGCAAGGUGUAGCCAAACCAUUUCUCCAAGGAUGGAUUGCAAUUGACGAACUAGUGUUCUCUUUCUAUAGGAGUUGAAGUGCUCGUAUGUCGCAAGGUAAUUCAUUAUAAUUUAUAACAAUUGGCAUGAUCUAAUUCGUGCUCCGCGAGGAUGUUUUGUUUUUUGUAAAGUCUGUUCAGCUAUACACCAGACUACUGUAUAGUGUGGUGUAAGUAAUAUGAGAAAAAAAAUCCUUGCGGAGCGCGUGACGAUCGUGCAUCCAAAUUGCCAUAAAUUAUACUUGAGAAACUAAUCCUCGCGACCCACGAGCACUUCAAACACUUAUGAAGAAGACAACACUAGUUCAACUCCUCAUCCUAGCUUUCCAGAAGCCUGUUGCUAAGGAGCAAUGGUUCAUAGAAGCAUUAAUUCAUCCAUUCUCAAGCCUUUUUGUUAAACACAGGAAGUUCAGUUCUCGCGUCAUCAAGGGAACAGUAGCCUGGAUGUUUAUCUACUGGGUUGCCAGGAUCCUGGAGUAAGCUGCGGGGCAGGAACAUCAGCCCUACAUGCUCCAAUUUGUGCAUGCCUGCCAUUUCUGCUGGCUAUAGAUUCACGUUUGAUGGACAGUUCGGUCUCCUCUUCAGCCAGCCCAACUGCAUGGGCUCAACUACGCGCUUGACUUCCACCCAAGAAGUUUGUGCAGUGGGGAGCUCUAGCCCAAUCAAGUCAUUCAAGUUUGUGUGUUAGUCUUUAUUCUUUAUGAGAGAGUAUGCUCAAAACAUUUCUUUGUUGUGAUCUAUCUUUAGUUUUGCAACAAAUGUGACAUUGUUGCAUUCUUGUGAAAGAGCUCCAGACCAACUCUCCAUGCUCUAUGUAGCCUUAGAUCAUUUUAGUGCACGCAUAAUAAUGUUGUAGUUGGUGAUGUCAAAAACUCAGCAAAUCACAACGGGGCCCAAGAUACCUUGCGGGAACCAUUUCAUGGAAGAUUCGGCGCCAAAAAGUUGUUUCCCGUGAGUUUACAGUCCGAACAAAGACGAGCAACGGUGACUUCAGGAGAUGAGAUACCUCAGAGUCAUAGAGAGUCAUGAUCAUAGAGGUUAUCACUCUCCAGUCGCGAGCAUCGCAUUAUUACAGAACACGACGGGAAUCCUGGAUCCCACUAACAAGAUAUAUGUGCCACGACUGUUCCUUAUAUUCUAUUUCGUUUCACUGCUUCAUGGGCUGCAUGUGAAUCUCACACUCUGCAAUGGUCUCACCUGCGCCGCAUCACAGAGUGACACAUUCGAUCGAACUGUGGUUGGAGUGCCAGAACAAUUGGGCAGGUCAUAGAAAAGUGCAGCUUGGCCUAAGUAUGUGAAGCGAUAGAAGAGUGGAGUGGCCACACAUACCGCCGUGCAAGGAUUGGGCUGGGCCGUGUAGCUCACUCCUGGGUCUUGGCAACCCGGGAGCACGUAAACAUCGAGCUUGCUGUUUCCAUCAACUUGAGGAAUUGAGAUAGCUUCCAUUGUAAUCACCACCAACACUGCUGCCAUGAUCUUCAAGAGCUUGAGUGCCUGAUAAAAGGCAAAGAGACGUUAAUAGGUUUAGUACUUUGCAAAGUGUAAGCCUGACCAUUUCUCCAAGGAUGAACUAUAAUUGAAGAACGGGACUUCUCUUU
RNAcentral lists this long non-coding RNA (31629 nucleotides) under Selaginella moellendorffii. Its description in RNAcentral is "long non-coding RNA (SMOE_LNC001773)". Lineage: Eukaryota; Viridiplantae; Streptophyta; Lycopodiopsida; Selaginellales; Selaginellaceae. The record is from RNAcentral.